CCCAAGUCCAGGUUUGGUGCAUAAAAGCUUUAACCCCACUUAUCUUUCACACCUGUAAAUUCAUUAUUAUUUCCAUUUCUAUCAGAUCUUUCCUACAAAUGCUGCACACGCUUUUCUUUUCUUUUCUUUUUUACCAAAUAUGCCUUUGAAAUUCAAGAAUUUUUCUAAUAUCAAAUGGGAGAGGCAUUUUUUGUGUGUGAAUGUAUAUAAAUUUAAUUCUUUUGAAGAAUGUUAGUAUUCUAUUGUUUUCUUGAAAUAUUAUUGGGUUAAAUGGUUGAAAGUUCGUUCUUUUUCCAUUUUGUCCACUAGAAAAUUGAUUCUUUGAAUGUGCAUUAUAAGACCAAAGACCGACUCUUUUUGGCUCGAGGGUCAUUACUGAAUUUAUGUGUUUAUUGAUGUGUGUGGAUUCUAUGUGCUCAUAAAGAUUAUGGCUUUAUUUAUUUUACUUUUUGUCCUUAUGCUUCAUUUUCAUGGGUUCCUUUCUCUUUCUGAAUGUCUUUUUGUAGGUAGUUCUAGAUAGGGUGUAAAUGGUGGAUGCCAAUACUAGACCUGUGCAGUUUUGUCCUAUUUUUGUUCCAUUUUCGCCCUCCUUAAUAAGUAUAAAUAAGGAUUACUGGUUGUGUAUUUUCUUCAUUGCAGGAACUCUUUGUUCUCACUGCAAGUGGGAUUCUUCUCCAUUGCGCAUUUAUCUGAGUCGAAAAUGAGCGUCAGUGGCUCUGCUGAAGGUCUAAUUAAUUCUUAUUCUCCUUUUAAUUUGUAUGUACUCUUAGCUGUUUAAGCUAUAAUCUUUCAUAAAUUAAGGAAAAACGUUUAGCCCAAUUUUAAAUUGACCUUCGAAUUUAUUAGGUAGCCAAACAUCUAGAAGGGCAUUUGAGUUUGGAAGGACUCAUGUUGUCAGGCCAAGAGGGAGACACGAAGCUACAAUCGUUUGGCUUCAUGGCCUUGGUGAUAGAGGCUCAAGG
RNAcentral lists this long non-coding RNA (962 nucleotides) under Olea europaea subsp. europaea. The record is from RNAcentral. Lineage: Eukaryota; Viridiplantae; Streptophyta; Magnoliopsida; Lamiales; Oleaceae.